Molecule: long non-coding RNA, 440 nt
Filed under: Struthio camelus australis
Lineage: Eukaryota; Metazoa; Chordata; Aves; Struthioniformes; Struthionidae
Description: lncRNA (ENSSCUG00000000366.1)
Source: RNAcentral
GUUUCUAUAAUCGACCUGUUUUGUGCUAUAUAAAACACUCGUGAGGUUUUUUUUUUUUAUUAUUGUUUGUUUUUGUUUUCUCUCUAGUCUGGUCUGUUCGGUGUAAUCUCGUGCCGAGAUAAGACGUGGAAUUUAGCCCUGAGCGAGGGACUUGCGUGGCUGUUCAAAGGGCUAAAAAGUGGGAAAGGUUGAUACCAAGACUUUCAUGAAGCAUGUUAUUAAAACAGAUGAAAAAUCAUAAUUUCAGUAAUAACCAAAAUCACCUUCCUGAUCUAAAGGUGAUAGUAGUACACCAUCCGUGACCGUGCGUGCUAGAUGACAACAUUCUGCCUUAGAAGAUAUAUAGUGAAUUAGCUCAGAUACGUCUCAGAUUGAAAGCACAAACACAGUAAGUUGCAAAGAUCCUGUCUUAAAAAGCAAAAUUAAAUUGAAAUUGGAAG